Molecule: ribosomal RNA, 253 nt
Filed under: uncultured bacterium
Lineage: Bacteria
Description: partial 16S ribosomal RNA
Rfam family: Bacterial small subunit ribosomal RNA
Source: RNAcentral
GACAGAGGGUGCAAACGUUGUUCGGAAUUACUGGGCGUAAAGCGCGUGUAGGCGGCCAUCUAAGUCGGGCGUGAAAUCCCACGGCUCGACCGUGGAAGUGCACUCGAAACUGGAUGGCUAGAGUCCUGGAGAGGAAGGUGGAAUGCUUGGUGUAGAGGUGAAAUUCGUAGAUAUCAAGCGGAACACCGGUGGCGAAGGCGGCCUUCUGGACAGUGACUGACGCUGAGACGCGAAAGCGUGGGGAGCAAACAGG